Molecule: ribosomal RNA, 338 nt
Filed under: uncultured Bacteroidota bacterium
Lineage: Bacteria; Pseudomonadati; Bacteroidota
Description: bacterial SSU rRNA
Rfam family: Bacterial small subunit ribosomal RNA
Source: RNAcentral
UAAUACGGAGGAUGCGAGCGUUAUCCGGAUUUAUUGGGUUUAAAGGGUGCGUAGGCGGAAUGGUAAGUCAGUGGUGAAAUGGUGCAGCUCAACUGUAGCAUUGCCAUUGAUACUGUCAUUCUUGAGUACAGAUGAGGUAGGCGGAAUGUGGUGUGUAGCGGUGAAAUGCUUAGAUAUACCACAGAACACCGAUUGCGAAGGCAGCUUACUAAGCUGACACUGACGCUGAAGCACGAAAGCGUGGGUAUCAAACAGGAUUAGAUACCCUGGUAGUCCACGCUGUAAACGAUGAUUACUGGUUGUUUGCGAUAGAUAGCAAGUGACUGAGCGAAAGCAUU